GAAGGUGAAGCGGGGCUUCGGCCCCGUGGAAACUGGCGCACGGGUGAGUAACGCGUGGGAAUCUACCCCGGGGUGGGGAAUAACCGCUGGAAACGGCGGCUAAUACCGCAUACGCCUUGCGAGGGAAAGCUUUAGCGCCCUGGGACGAGCCCGCGUCGGAUUAGCUUGUUGGUGAGGUAACGGCUCACCAAGGCUUCGAUCCGUAGCUGGUCUGAGAGGAUGAUCAGCCACACUGGGACUGAGACACGGCCCAGACUCCUACGGGAGGCAGCAGUGGGGAAUAUUGGACAAUGGGGGCAACCCUGAUCCAGCCAUGCCGCGUGCGUGAAGAAGGCCUUAGGGUUGUAAAGCGCUUUCGGCGGGGAAGAUGAUGACGGUACCCGCAGAAGAAGCUCCGGCUAACUCCGUGCCAGCAGCCGCGGUAAUACGGAGGGGGCUAGCGUUGUUCGGAAUUACUGGGCGUAAAGGGCGCGUAGGCGGAUUGUCAAGUCAGAGGUGAAAGCCCUGGGCUCAACCUGGGAACUGCCUUUGAAACUAACGGUCUAGAGUCCGAGAGAGGAUGGCGGAAUUCCCAGUGUAGAGGUGAAAUUCGUAGAUAUUGGG
This 603-nucleotide ribosomal RNA is filed under the name uncultured bacterium. Its description in RNAcentral is "bacterial SSU rRNA". It matches the Rfam family "Bacterial small subunit ribosomal RNA", at positions 64 to 701 of the family's 1533-position model. The record is from RNAcentral.